CGCCCCGCAAGGGGAGCGGCAGACGGGUGAGUAACGCGUGGGAACGUACCAUUUGCUACGGAAUAACUCAGGGAAACUUGUGCUAAUACCGUAUGAGCCCGAAAGGGGAAAGAUUUAUCGGCAAAUGAUCGGCCCGCGUUGGAUUAGCUAGUUGGUGGGGUAAAGGCCUACCAAGGCGACGAUCCAUAGCUGGUCUGAGAGGAUGAUCAGCCACACUGGGACUGAGACACGGCCCAGACUCCUACGGGAGGCAGCAGUGGGGAAUAUUGGACAAUGGGCGCAAGCCUGAUCCAGCCAUGCCGCGUGAGUGAUGAAGGCCCUAGGGUUGUAAAGCUCUUUCACCGGUGAAGAUAAUGACGGUAACCGGAGAAGAAGCCCCGGCUAACUUC
RNAcentral lists this ribosomal RNA (389 nucleotides) under Ochrobactrum sp. RNAcentral's name for it is "bacterial SSU rRNA". It matches the Rfam family "Bacterial small subunit ribosomal RNA", at positions 67 to 504 of the family's 1533-position model. The record is from RNAcentral. Lineage: Bacteria; Pseudomonadati; Pseudomonadota; Alphaproteobacteria; Hyphomicrobiales; Brucellaceae.